Molecule: ribosomal RNA, 462 nt
Filed under: uncultured bacterium
Lineage: Bacteria
Description: bacterial SSU rRNA
Rfam family: Bacterial small subunit ribosomal RNA
Source: RNAcentral
AACGAACGCUGGCGGCAUGCCUAACACAUGCAAGUCGAACGGGAUCCAGGCUUCGGCCUGGUGAGAGUGGCGGACGGGUGAGUAACACGUGGGAACCUGCCUUUUGGUUCGGGAUAACCGCGGGAAACUGCGGCUAAUACCGGAUGCUCCCGAGAGGGGAAAGAUUUAUCGCCAGAAGAGGGGCCCGCGUCCGAUUAGGUAGUUGGUGAGGUAAUGGCUCACCAAGCCGACGAUCGGUAGCUGGUCUGAGAGGAUGAUCAGCCACACUGGGACUGAGAUACGGCCCAGACUCCUACGGGAGGCAGCAGUGGGGAAUAUUGGGACAAUGGGGGCGAACCCUGAUCCAGCAAUGCCGCGUGAGUGAUGAAGGCCUUAGGGUUGUAAAGCUCUUUUGCCAGGGAAGAUGAUGACUGUACCUGGAGAAUAAGCCCCGGCUAACUUCGUGCCAGCAGCCGCGGUAAU